UUUUUUUAUUAAAGUAAUCAAUAGUUUCCUCUGCAGAGUAAACAGAAGACAAAGAACAGAGAAUUAGGAAAACAAAACUUUGGAGGUGUCUGAACCAGGUACAUUUAUAGUAAGAGCUAGCAUCGCUGGCCUGGAAGAGGUCGUUGAGGUGUUAGAUACCCUUGGCAGCUUACUAGUGUGGGUAAAAGGAUAAAAAGGAGAAGAUGAAAGCCGUGAGCUUAAAAAAGAUUCACUUUUUGAUGAUAGUCUAGGAUCUUCGAGUUCUGUCUUUUGGCGUCUGGACACUGGGUAGGCCACAAUCUGGUCCGUUCAAAUGGGCUUUGGGAUUUGGAAUCUGUCAGGCUGGUGACAGGCUAGCUAGGCAACAAAUAUGGGUCGGUAUACCCCCUAUUAGAAGCCUAAUAGAACAUGUUUAGCCCAUUUGCCUGCUCGUAUUUGUCCGCUUAACCUUGCCGCAUUGUCCUUCACCAGAUGUCUUGGCUCAUGCGUCUCUUUCUCUCUCCCCAAACGUGACGGAGGCGCCGUUACUCUCGAGCAAGAUGUGUUUCCUGAAUGUUGACGAUCACAGCUACGUCUUUUUUCGAUCCACCCAUUAUGACCGCGCUUAGAGCUGCUUCAUAUUUCAUGGAUUUGAGUUCCUUUACCUAAGCAACCCUGCUUCUGCAGGAUUGUGUUUUCCCACUGGACUUAAUAUUUUGAUUAUGUUUUUUUUUCUUUUUGCUGCUAAAUCCAUGUGCCUGUUUAGGUUGUUAUUCGUUUAGUUGGAAAAAGUUGUGGUUUCCCUAUCGUUGAUUCGUUUACUCCUAUUGUCCUCAUAUCCCAUAUUUACGAGUGGAUGUGUGCUCACAACAAGGGCUUUCACAACACUUUGGCAAGAGUAUUAAUUUCUAGUUUUUGGACUGGAUUGUGAUCACAGUUGCUACCAAAAACACUUAAAAUAAAAAUUGGCAUGGGUAUGAGGCCUUGAUUCUUACAACUAUAUUUUUGUGGUCGAGAUCAUCACGAUCUUAAUUUGUGCUCCGGAAAACAACCAUUAAGACGUUCUUACAAUGCCUCGAAGUGGGGAUUGUGUUCAAAUUACAUCUUCACCGAAACAUGCCCUGCAUCAAGAGUUAGUUGUCCAACCAUAGGCCCCUUUGAUGUCACUUGAAGCUACGUGGGUAUUUCCAAAAGAGGAAGGGAUGAUGCAGCACAGCGGCGGUAGGUAUUUCCCUCAGAUAUGAAACCAAGCUUAUCGAACCAGUAGGACAACCAAGCAACCCAAUGUAAACAGCCCCUGCACACAGAUAACAAAUCUUCGCAACCCGAUGUGUGAAAGGGGUUGUCAAUCCCCUUCGGGUAGCGGUGCCAAAAAUUGGUGCGUGACGGGAAAAUGGUUGUAAUUGAUUGGAUAAAUAGAUCGCAAAUAAAAUAAAGUGCAGAAAAGUAUUUUUGUAUUUUUGGAUUAAUAGAUCUGAAAAUAAAUGCAAAUAAAAGUAGAUCGCAAAGGCAAAUAAUAUGAGAAAGAGACCCGGGGGGGCGUAGAUUUCACUAGUGGCUUCUCUCGAGAAAAAUAGCAAAGCGGUGGGUGAACAAAUUACUGUUGGGAAAUUGAUAGAACUUCAAAUACUCAUGACGAUAUCCAGGCAAUGAUCAUUACAUAGGUAUCACGUCCAAGAUUAGUAGACCGACUCCUGCCUGCAUCUACUACUAUUACUCCACACAUCGACCGCUAUCCAGCAUGCAUAUAGUGUGUUAGGUUCAUGGAGAAAUGGAGUAAUGCAAUAAGAACGAUGACAUGAUGUAGACAAGACCUAUCUAUGUAGAGAUAGACCCCAUCGUUCUAUCCUUAGUAGCAACGAUACAUACGUGUCGGUUCCCUUUCUGUCACUGGGAUCAAGCACCGUAAGAUCGAACCCACUACAAAGCACCUCUUACCAUUGCAAGAUAAAUAGAUCAAGUUGGCCAAACAAAACCCAAAUAUAGGAGAAGAAAUACGAGGCUAUAAGAGAUCAUGCAUAAAAGAGAUCGAAGAAACUCAAAUACUUUCAUGGAUAUAAAAACAUAGAUAUGAUCAUAAACUCAAAGUUCAUCGAUCCCAACAAACACACCGCAAAAAGAGUUACAUCAUAUGGAUCUCCAAGAGACCACUAUAUUGAGAAUCAAGAGAAAGAGAUGAAGCCAUCUAGCUACUAACUACGGACCCGAAGGUCUACAAAGAACUACUCACGCAUCAUCGGAGAGGCACCAAUGGAGGUGGUGAACCCCAUCCGAGAUGGUGUCUAGAUUGGAUCUGGUGGUUCUGGACUCUGCGGCGGCUGGAUCAAUAUUUCGUCGACUCCCCUAGGGUUUCUGGAAUAUUGGGGUAUUUAUAGAGCAAAGAGGCGGUCCGGGGGGCACCCGAGGUGGGCACAACCCACCAGGGCGCGCCUGGGCCUCCUGGCGCGCCCUGGUGGGUUGUGCCUCCCUCGGGGCACCCCCCAGGCGCAGCCAGGGCCCGUUUGUGUUCCUUCUGGCCCAUAAAAAUUCUCCGUAAAGUUUCAUGGCAUUUGGACUCCAUUUGAUAUUGAUUUUCUGCGAUGUAAAAAACAUGGAAAAAACAGCAACUGGCACUUGGCACUAUGUCAAUAGGUUAGUACCAAAAAUGAUAUAAAAUAACUAUAAAAUGAUUAUAAAACAUCCAAGAUUGAUAAUAUAAUAGCAUGGAACAAUCAAACAUUAUAGAUAUGUUGGAGACGUAUUAGCAUCCCCAAGCUUAACUCCUACUCGUCCUCGAGUAGGGAAGUGAUAAAAACAGAAUUUUUGAUGUGGAAUGCUGCCUAACAUGUAUCAUAUUUCUUUCUUUAUAGCAUGGUCAUUUGGACUUUUAUAUUCUUCAAAUCAAUAGUCUAGUUUUGACAUGAUAAUUUAAAUACUCAAGCAUAUCAACAAGUAACCAUGUCUUUCAAAAUAUCAACGCUAAAAUAAGCUAUCCCUAGCCCAUCAUGCUCAACCUUUGAUCCAUUCAUGAAACACACUCACAUAUUAGCUAUGUCCAAUACUCAAGUACGAUCAUAUUGCCUCCUAGUUGGUGCUUUUAUAAGAGAAGAUGGAGACUCAAAUUCAAAAAAAAUUUGCAUAAAAUAAAAGAUAGGCCCUUCGCAGAGGGAAGUAGGGAUUUGUAGAGGUGCCAGAGCUCAAAGCGAAAAACUUAGAGAUAAAAACAUUUUGGGAGGUGUAUCCAUCCCACCAACGGAAACGACUUAGAGUUCCCAAUACUUUCCAUGCAUAGAUAUAUCAUAGGCGGUUCUCAAAUAGAAAAUAAAGUUUAUUCAUUUUUCCACCAAACUUUCACUUUCCAUGGCUAACCGUAUCCACGGGUGCCCUCCAUACCAACACUUUCCAAGGAAUUUAUUAUUUGACAACAUAAAGUAAAUUCAUUUUUUUGCAUUUCGGGACUGGGCAUCCCUAAUACCUUUGCCUUACUCUCGUGCAAUGACAAGUGAAUAAACACUCAUCUUGAGAAUAACACAUCUAGCAUGGAAAAUAUUAGCCACCCCUCACCGCUCCACGAGCGAAACAAACACACAAAAGAGAAGUUUAUUUUUGAAAAUUAGAGAUGGCACAUGCAAAUUUGCUUAGAAAGGCAAAAGAAUACCACAUAUUGCUAGAUAUAGUGGACUCAUGUGGCAAAACUUGGUUAAAGGUUUUUGGAUGCACAAGUAGAGAUCAUACUUAAUGCAAAAUGAAGGCUAGCAAAAGAUUGAGAAGCGACCAACCAAGAAACGAAUAUUCUCAUAAGCGAGCAUUAAGCAUAACUAACACCGCAUAAUGCACCAUACGUAGGAUAUAAUUUCAUUGCAUAACUAUUGACUUUCGUGCUUGCAUAGGGAAUCACAAACCUUAACACCAAUAUUCUUACUAAAGCAUAAUUACUCAUCAGGAUGACUCACAUAUCUCAUCAUCAUAUCUCAAAACUAUUACUAAGAAUCAAGUUUAUUUUGUGCAAUGAUCUUCAUGAAAGUUUUUAUUAUAUCUUUCUUGGAUAUCUACCACUUUGGGACUAAUUCUCAUUUGUUGCUUUUGACAAUCUCAAACAAAUAUAAGUGAAGAUAAUGAGCAUAAUAUUUCUUUCUCUCAAAUUAAUUUAAGUGAAGCAAGAGAGAAUUUCUUGAAAAUUUUACUAACUCUCAAACAAAUCUAAGUGAAGCAAGAGAGCAUUUCUUCGAAAAUACUAAAGCACACCGUGCUCAAAAAGAUAUAAGUGAAGCACUAGAGCAAGUCCAUAGCUUAUAAAAAAAUUAAGUGAAGCAUAGAGAGCAAUUCUAACAAGUCAUGACAUAAUUUUGGCUCUCUCAAAUAGGUGUGUCCAGGAAGGGAUCAAGACUUAAAACACAAAAUAAAACAAGCAAAGACUCAGAUCAUACAAGACGCUCCAAGCAAAACACAUAGUAUGUGACGAAUAAAAAUAUAGUUCCGAGUAAAAUACCGAUGGUCGUUCCGAGUAAAAUAAGUGAAGCACUAGAGCAAGUCCAUAGCUUAGUUGGUCGCUCAUUUUUGAAUAAUAGCUUGGGAUGCCGGGUGAUACGUCUCCAACGUAUCUAUAAUUUUUUAUUGUUCCAUGCUAUUAUAUUAUCUGUUUUGGAUGUUUAAUGGGCUUUAUUAUACACUUUUAUAUUAUUUUUGGGACUAACAUAUUAACCCAAGGCCCAGUGCAAAUUGCUGUUUUUUGCCUAUUUUAGUGUUUCGCAGAAAAGGAAUAUCAAAUGGAAUCCAAACGGAAUGAAACCUUCGGGGGAGUGAUUUUUGGAACAAACAUGAUCCAGAGGACUUGGAGUGGAUGUCAAGAAAGAAGCGAGGAGGCCACGAGGUAGGGAGGCGCGCCUACCCCCCUGGGCGCGCCCCCACCCUCGUGGGCUCUCGCAACUCCACCGACCUACUUCCUCCUCCUAUAUAUACCCAUAUACCCCGAAAACAUCCAGGAGCACCACGAAACCCUAUUUCCACCGCCGCAACCUUCUGUAACCGUGAGAUCCCAUCUUGGGGCCUUUACCGGCGCGCCGCCGGAGGGGGAAUCGAUCACGGAGGGUUUCUACAUCAACACCAUAGCCUCUCCGAUGAUGUGUGAGUAGUUUACCUCUGACCUUUGGGUCCAUAGUUAUUAGCUAGAUGGCUUCUUCUCUUUCUUUGGAUCUCAAUACAAAGUUCUCCUCGAUCUUCUUGGAGAUCUAUUCGAUGUAACUCUUUUUGCGGUGUGUUUGUCGAGAUCCGAUGAAUUGUGGAUUUAUGAUCAAGAUUAUCUAUGAACAAUAUUUGAAUCUCCCC
Molecule: ribosomal RNA, 5283 nt
Filed under: Triticum aestivum (bread wheat)
Lineage: Eukaryota; Viridiplantae; Streptophyta; Magnoliopsida; Poales; Poaceae
Description: partial small subunit ribosomal RNA
Source: RNAcentral